CAAAGGUAGCAUAAUCAUUAGGGAUUUAAUUGGAACCUGGUAUGAAGGGUUGGACAAAGGAAAGACUGUCUAUAUAAUAUAAAUUGAAAUUUACCUUUAAGUGAAAAGGCUUAAAUAAGUCAAAGGGACGAUAAGACCCUAUAAAGCUUUAUAAAUAAUUAAAAUUUAAUUGAUUUAGUGAUUAAAGGUUAAGUUUAUAUUAUUUUAUUUUAUUGGGGUGAUAUGAGUAUAAGUGUUGUUAACUGCUUAAAAAAAAUUCUGGUAUUAGAGAAUUGAUUAAGUGAAUGAUCCUUUAUAAAGAUUAAAAGACUAAGUUACUUUAGGGAUAACAGCGUUAUUUCUUUUGAGAGUUCAUAUCGAAAAAGAAGAUUGCGACCUCGAUGUUGAAUUAAAAUAUCUAUAUAAUGUAGCCGUUAUAAAAGAGGGUCUGUUCGACCUUUAAAUUUUUACAUGAUUUGAGUUCA
RNAcentral lists this ribosomal RNA (464 nucleotides) under Atergatis subdentatus. RNAcentral's name for it is "partial 16S ribosomal RNA". The stretch from base 325 to 464 matches the Rfam family "Bacterial large subunit ribosomal RNA", at positions 2473 to 2613 of the family's 2925-position model. The record is from RNAcentral. Lineage: Eukaryota; Metazoa; Arthropoda; Malacostraca; Decapoda; Xanthidae.